ACGUUUCAACGAAAAGUUUUUUUUAGUUAAGUUAGUUAGUUUUAAAUAUUUGUAAUUUUAUUGUUAUCUAGCUUUUUCAAACGUUCUCAUAUAAUUUAAGUGAUUUAAACUAGAGUUAUUAACUCUAGUUAAAAAAAAAAGUUUUUGAUUUUACAAUGAAUCAAUGCGAGGAUGAUAAUAGACGCAGAUAAAUAUCAAGAAUAUCUGCAAAUUAGUGCAGAAGGAGAGAACAUAAUAAGACAACUAAAAGUAUUAUCAGAAACCACCAAUGGACAAAUUGUAUAAAAGUCUUAGGUUUUAAUAAUUGAAAUAUUAACCUAAAAAUAAAUUUGAUAAUGAGGGAUGAAGUAUUUUAUGAAUAAUUCGUCGUAGCGCAGCCGUGCGAGUGACAUGCGCAUAAUCUAACACAAUCUUUUUAAGACAAUCUAAUCAUGUCGAAGUGUGACCAAUGUAAUAAAUCUUUGCCUGGAUGUGAAUGUGCCCGAUGUGAAAAAAUGGUACACCUAAAUACCAGAUGCAGUGGUCUUACCAACAAACAGAUAACCGCAUUAAAGGCGGCCCCAGGCCUGGACUGGACCUGUAUGGAAUGCCAACAAGAAUCCCCGAAGCGAAACUCCUCUUUGUAUCUGACAGAGGAUGCAAAGGAGGAUAUACCUAUGGACACUAAGGGGCUAAUACAGAAAAUUUCCAAGGAAGUAGAAAAAACUAUAAAGAAGGAAAUAAACGAAUUCAACCAAUCUCUGCAAUUUCACAGUACGAAGUUGGACAAAGUAUUAGGUUGUAUUGAUGCCUUUAAAAACACCAUAAAAGUUUUAGAAAGAAAAAACACGGAACUAUACACAAAAGCAACAAUCUGGAAUUGAGGGUAGGUGCAUUGGAGCAGCGUUUCCAUGAGAUGGAACAGGAGAAACUUGCUAUUUCUAUAGAAAUAGCAAACGUCCCCCCUGCGAGUGAAGAGAAUGUGAGAAAAUUAGUUGAAAAUGUAGCAUUAAAACUUAAACAGCCCUUCGACGGUAUCCGUAACACAAUGCGAUACCAAGCUGCAAAAACCAUUAAAACUAUGGUGGCCGAUGUUUGCCCCCUAUGAACCCAACAAUAACAAAAUAGUAUUCAUCAGGGAAGCAAUGACUAAAUACAACAAAAGCAUUUUAUGGGAAGCCAAACAAGAAUUAAAGAAUAAACAAAGAUUUAAAUACGUAUGGUUUAAAAACGUUAUGGUGAGUGCAAGAAAGGAUGAAAACACUAAAAUACAAAACCUAAGAUCAGUGUUGGAUAUACAAGUGUUAAAAAAAAGACAGAAUGUCAAUUAACUGACCAAAUUAAAUGCAUAUAAAUUAUUAUUAUUAUUAAGAUGGAUAGUUUAACUAGUGAUAUUUGUGAAUUAGAAGACUGUAUAAACAUAAAUGAUUCUGUGAGUAAAAUUCCCAGUAGACAUUUAAAUCUAUUGUGGUGUACACAUAAACAUAAGGUCAAUCAUAAAAUACUUUGCCAAUCUCGAGCAAUGUAUAUAUGCGGCUGGCGCUGUUAACGUUAUUGUGCUUACAGAGGUUAACAUUUCUGAUAGAAUCAGUUGUCUGUAUAAUUUAGAUGGAUACCAUAUGUUUUCGGCACUCAGAAAUGGUAGGAAAGGUGGAAGUAUCUUAGUAUAUGUAAAAAAGAAACAAAUUUAAUAUGCAAAUUGUAAAAAGCCAACAUUUCGAUAAUAUUAUACUUUUUACCAUCACAACUCUAUCUCGAUAUCUUGUAUCUAUUGGGAGACGUUAAUAUAAAUCUAAAGCUAGACAUUCCUAUAAAACAUAAAUAUUGCAACACAUUACACAGUUUAGGCCUUAUGUGUGGGAUGACAACUUACACUAGGGCGGAACUAU
Molecule: long non-coding RNA, 1868 nt
Organism: Pieris brassicae (large cabbage white)
Lineage: Eukaryota; Metazoa; Arthropoda; Insecta; Lepidoptera; Pieridae
Exons: 3
Source: RefSeq, a predicted model, not a curated record